CUCUGAGCAUCUGGUCAACAAGUGCACAUCAGUUAUUGGAAUGAAAAAAACUAAUGACGUAGGAUUUUUUUUUCUCUGUCACUUUGCAAGCCAGGAACCCCCAGCCAGUGACACUCCACCUGGGCCUCCCUAGACCAUGCCGGUGUGCCCCAGCUUGCCUGUGUUACAGAAUGUACCUGAAUUCAGCAGUUCCUGAGCUCUUAUACCACACCCAAGAAGCAUGAGGAUAUGUGGGACAUUGAAGAAUGAGGAGGGCAGAGAAGAAUUUUAUUGAAUGACAAAAACAGCUUUCAAUGGAGACAGGAUGUGAGGUUUAUUGAAGGUUACUGUUGUGACAGAAUGCCCCAAAAUCUUGCUGUUACGGCAUUUUGUUUCAAGGAGUAAUGGCUACAGGAAGAUAAUUUCAGAAGUGAUAUGAGCAUGAUGUCAAAGUUUCCCAGAAGCUGUCUGUCCUUCCUUGGGAGUGAAGUUAUCCCACAUUAUCAUCUCUCUUCAGCUGAGGAUGUUCUCCCAGGAACCGUGCAUUGUUGGAUAGGCUUAAACUUAUUCAACUUGGUACAGAAGACAGUUUACCAUGAGCUAAUUCAGGCAUCCCAGUCACUUGGUGCAAAUGAGAGGAGUGGCCAAGAUGGCUGACUAGAAGCAGCUAAUGUGUGUGGCUCUCAUGGAGAGGAAGGGAAGGGACCUUCAACGGAAACAUCCAUUGAGACUCGCACUGGGGCUAAUCAAGGAAACAGCUUGAUGCAUGGAGAAGAGAGAAAAGCAAGACAAGACGAUGGCCGACCUAAGGGUGACAUGGAGCCAAGGGAAGCUCCCCGCCGACCCAGGGAAGUGGUGCUUCAAUUACGACAGCAUACCGGAAGUCUCCCAGAACACUUCCCCCAAAGCAGCUCUGCCUGUAUCGAUUUUAAGAUGGCAUUUAAUAAUAUGAUUCUACCGCUUAAAAAUAAAGUUUGAAAAUAUUAGACUAGAAGAUCCCUAAAGUUCCUUCCAGUUUAGGUAUCUCUUUUUCUAUUAAUUAAUUGGGGACUCUCUAACCAGAGAACAAAAGGCUAAAAUGCGACUUGAUUCACGUAUUCAAUAGUUCCCCCCAUUUAUGAAAGAGAAGCUUAUUGGCUUUUUCUAGUGCACAGAGGGGCCAACAUGAAAGAAACAGGCUUAGAUUAAAAGAGGUACAUUUCCAUUUGAGUUUAAGGCAAAGACAUGACCAUCAUGAUGGUGAACAACGAAAAUGGAGCAGGUAUCAUCAGCCUGGAAGAAUCAGAAAACUUUUCUUCAGUUGUGGAGUCAAUUAUUUUGAGAAGUGCAUCCUGGCCACAUGAUGAGAGAAGUCAAGAACUUUUAAGCAACUGAUGAAGGAAGGAUCAAUCUAAAAUCUAACUGCAGAGGCAGCUCACUGCAGUCUGAUCUUUCUGUGGAGUUUAUUCAUGUUGUCUGGAUGCAAAUAACAUGGGCACGCUUGAUUCAUAUGCAAAACAGAUACAUAGGUAGUGGUUCUCAACCUUGGCUGCAAAUCAAAAUUACCUAGAGAGCUUUGAAAAAUACUUAUGCCUGGGACCCACCCUAGACCAUUCAAAUGAGAAUCUGUAUAGGGAGUAACUCUUUGCGGGGGCUACAAAUCACAAAAGCGUAGGUUUUCAUAACCAAGGAAAGAAGUUGCAGUCCGGGCUGGCUUUAGUGUUUUGUAUAAAAGACCAAGAAACCAGCUGGGAGACAAGUUGCAGAGAAUGGUGCUGAAAGUUGUGGGAAGGAGUAUCUGUACUGGGAGAAACAAAAAUGAAACCAGUGCUGAUUUAGUUGAUGACCAGGGAAGAGUAGCAGGGAAAUGAUAAAAAUAUAUAGGAAAGGACAUCAAAAAAGGGAGAAAAGAGUCCUUGAUAAAGUAAUAAAAGUAUUGUGAAGAAGCUACUUUUUUCGAGGGUGGUAAA
Non-coding RNA from Chlorocebus sabaeus (green monkey), 1928 nucleotides. The record is from RefSeq and is a predicted model, not a curated record. Lineage: Eukaryota; Metazoa; Chordata; Mammalia; Primates; Cercopithecidae.